Patella vulgata (common limpet) is the source of this 1289-nucleotide long non-coding RNA. RefSeq lists it as uncharacterized. The transcript has 3 exons. The record is from RefSeq and is a predicted model, not a curated record. Lineage: Eukaryota; Metazoa; Mollusca; Gastropoda; Patellidae.
GAGUGGGUAACAGAGGCUACCACUAUCGCGCUACAUCAUAUUGACACUAUAUCUGUCGGUGUACGUCUAUAAUUAUAAUAUUAUGACUAUAUGUAGUAUGAAAAUAGGUCACCUUAUAGGGAGAUAUACUAUAAUGCUUAUACGUUUAAUUUUAUACACAGGUUAAUAGAUGACCCGGUGCCCGCAGAUGAUACCUCGAUCGUGCAUAGAGCUCACGCGUUCCAGAAGGUAGUCGAUGAUACACAACGGAAAGGUGUGAUUUACAACAAGAAAGCAUUAACGAAGGAUUUUUCAAACGGGAUAUCCGUGUGGGGAAGUAUCGCCAUGUCAUUUUUGCCACAGAGUAUCAUUGAAUUUGUUAUAUUUAUGAAAUUGUAAUGUAUUGAAUAAAAUUAUAUACUUUGUUGUUUAUUAAUGAACGGGUCCGCUCUAGCGUGGGGAUGUUCCGAAAACCAGGGGGAAAUGAUCAUAAAGCGAAUGUGUCCCGAAAGUAAACUAUAUCUACAACCCGAAAUUAAACUAAGUCGUGUGGACGACUCCACUAACGGGUGUGGACGACUCCACCAACGAGUGUGGACGACUUCAGCAGAUUUUUCGUGUGGACGACUUUGCUUGUGGACGACUUGACUGAUAUUCCUCUUGCCAUGCCUUCGGUCCUGCACCUGCUUCUUUUUUUUUCUUUUGAACAUACAAUUAUUCCGGUGGGUGCAUGGGUAUUUUGUUUAUAUGACACAGUAUGAUAGUGCCAUUUAACGAAAGCGAAAGAUGACUAAGAUGCCAAGUUAUGGCAACUUAAAGGCUCAAUACCACUCUUGUUGUAACUGAAUAAUAUGUCCCAAUUUUUAUUCUGGUCAACAAAUUGUACUAUUUUACAAUAUUUCAAUUAAUUGGUGAUACAAAUUUCAUCUUAACACACCUAAUUUAAAAAUUUUGAAAAAUUCAACAUAAUGGUUAGAAACGUCUAACGUAAACCUUUUCAAAUGAAACUUCGAUUUAAAAAUAUUUUCGAACCCUCUGGACAAGUAAAAUAGGAUGUAAUGGACAAUUUACACAACAGGUAGGACACUUAAACAUCUAGUACUUAGAUAGAGAUAUUAUUUAUUUUCUGGAGCUUUCAAGCCAGCAAGAGUGUUAUUGUCCCUUUAAAAGUAAAUAGCACGGUCUGCUUAGUCACAUAAUAGAGUAAUAAAUUUAGAAGCUUCACACAGAACGAUAAUUUGUCUUACACCAGAGAAUUUAGUAAGGCAGAGUAGACUGGAGCUUGGUGAUUUUAUUUAUAUUUUCUUUUC